GAUGAACGCUGGCGGCGUGCCUAAUACAUGCAAGUCGAGCGAACGGACGAGAAGCUUGCUUCUCUGAUGUUAGCGGCGGACGGGUGAGUAACACGUGGAUAACCUACCUAUAAGACUGGGAUAACUUCGGGAAACCGGAGCUAAUACCGGAUAAUAUUUUGAACCGCAUGGUUCAAAAGUGAAAGACGGUCUUGCUGUCACUUAUAGAUGGAUCCGCGCUGCAUUAGCUAGUUGGUAAGGUAACGGCUUACCAAGGCAACGAUGCAUAGCCGACCUGAGAGGCUGAUCGGCCACACUGGAACUGAGACACGGUCCAGACUACUACGGGAGGCAGCAGUAGGGAAUCUUCCGCAAUGGGCGAAAGCCUGACGGAGCAACGCCGCGUGAGUGAUGAAGGUCUUCGGAUCGUAAAACUCUGUUAUUAGGGAAGAACAUAUGUGUAAGUAACUGUGCACAUCUUGACGGUACCUAAUCAGAAAGCCACGGCUAACUACGUG
RNAcentral lists this ribosomal RNA (497 nucleotides) under uncultured bacterium. RNAcentral describes it as "partial 16S ribosomal RNA". It matches the Rfam family "Bacterial small subunit ribosomal RNA", at positions 28 to 507 of the family's 1533-position model. The record is from RNAcentral.